UUUGACGUUAGCGGCGGACGGGUGAGUAACACGUGGGCAACCUACCUUAUAGUUUGGGAUAACUCCGGGAAACCGGGGCUAAUACCGAAUAAUCUAUUUCACUUCAUGGUGAAAUACUGAAAGACGGUUUCGGCUGUCGCUAUAAGAUGGGCCCGCGGCGCAUUAGCUAGUUGGUGAGGUAACGGCUCACCAAGGGAACGAUGCGUAGCCGACCUGAGAGGGUGAUCGGCCACACUGGGACUGAGACACGGCCCAGACUCCUACGGGAGGCAGCAGUAGGGAAUCUUCCACAAUGGGGGAAAGCCUGAUGGAGCAACGCCGCGUGAGUGAAGAAGGUUUUCGGAUCGUAAAACUCUGUUGUAAGGGAAGAACAAGUACAGUAGUAACUGGCUGUACCUUGACGGUACCUUAUUAGAAAGCCACGGCUAACUACGUGCCAGCAGCCGCGGUAAUACGUAGGUGGCAAGCGUUGUCCGGAAUUAUUGGGCGUAAAGCGCGCGCAGGCGGUCCUUUAAGUCUGAUGUGAAAGCCCACGGCUCAACCGUGGAGGGUCAUUGGAAACUGGGGGACUUGAGUGCAGAAGAGGAAAGUGGAAUUCCAAGUGUAGCGGUGAAAUGCGUAGAGAUUUGGAGGAACACCCGGUGGGCAAAGGCGACUUUUCUGGUCUGUAACUGACGCUGAGGCGCGAAAGCGUGGGGGAGCAAACAGGAUUAGAUACCCUGGGUAGUCCACGCCGUAAACGAUGAGUGCUAAGUGUUAGGGGGUUUCCGCCCCCUUAGUGCUGCAGCUAACGCAUUAAAGCACUCCCCCCGUGGGGGAGUACGGGUCGCAAGACUUGAACCUCAAGGAAUUUGACGGGGGGCCCGCACAAGCGGUGGAGCAUGUGGUUUUAAUUC
Molecule: ribosomal RNA, 896 nt
Filed under: Lysinibacillus sp.
Lineage: Bacteria; Bacillati; Bacillota; Bacilli; Caryophanales; Bacillaceae
Description: bacterial SSU rRNA
Rfam family: Bacterial small subunit ribosomal RNA
Source: RNAcentral